AUGGAAACCUCCACGCAGAACGUGAGAAGCGGCGGAGUAAUGGAGGGCGAGGCGCCGGCGUGCGUGUCCAAGGUGCUCGACGAGGACAACCUCCUCCGAGAGAUCAUCGUCCGCGUCGGCUUCCCCACCAGCCUCGUCCGCGCCGCCGGCGUCUGCACGCGCUGGCUCAGCCACGCCUCCGACCGCGCGCUCCUCCGCCGUUUCCGCGAGCUCCACCCGCCCAGGCUCCUCGGCUUCUACCUCGCGAACAGGGAGCGUCCGGGCGGCGCGCGCUUCUUCCCGGCGCUGCCUCUGCCCCCGGAUCUCGCCGCCGUCGUCCGCCGCGCAAGCUUCAGCCUGGACACCGCACGCCGCUCCGCAGGCUUCAGCCCCGACACCCACUCGGACGGGCGGACCGACGUGGUGGGCUGCUGGAACGGCAGCGUCCUCACCAGCUCGCAGGGGCAGAAUUACGCGCACGGUCGAUCUGAAAUCAUAUUUGAAGUGCACAGCCCGCUAUGCUCCGGCUCCGAGAAAGGUGCGGCCAUCAUCCCAGCACUACACCUCAAAGUCCAGGAUGGAAUCUGCAGGCUUAUUAGACAACUCUUCUUCAGAGAAGAAGGGGAUGGAUUCUCCUACUUUUUUGUCACGGUGGAGUGUACCAGGUAUCAUGAAGAUUCUCAAGUGCAUGUGUAUAUGCUGCAAAAUGGUGAUGAUGCCUGGCGCCUGCAUCUCACCUUGGCCUCCGACCUCCUCCUGUAUCCACGCAAAAGCCCCAAAGGCGUGCUCGUUGACAACAGAAUCUAUUUGCCGACCGACAAUGAAAUUGUUGUCCUGGAUUUGGUGUCCUCAAGCUUAUCGACAAUUCAGCUCCCACAAGGGGUGGGUUUUAGUCCGAUAGGCACCACCAUGUUGUCACGGGCUGAUGAUUCUUCUGGUGUAUAUCUCAUCCAUAUCAAGGACCUUCAACUUAGCAUCUGGCUCCACAAUGGGGACAACUGGUUGCUGGUGGACACCAUUUGCUUGUGUGAAAUAUCUGAUAAUUUGUUUGACGAUGAGCCUACUGAUGAGAUCCUGAUAAACCAUGUGGGGGACUAUAAUGAGUUUGUGUUCUUGGAGAUGGGUCGAUGUGCACUCUACUUGGAUGUCAAACGCAGGACGCUGCGUAAAGUGUAUGAGAUGACAACAGAGGAGCAACAGUUGGGUGAUAUCUAUCCUCUUAUGAUGAGCUGGCUUCCCAGUUUCCCUGCGCUCAUGGAUAGUCCUGCAAGGAAUGCCACGUGA
RNAcentral lists this ribosomal RNA (1263 nucleotides) under Triticum aestivum (bread wheat). RNAcentral describes it as "partial small subunit ribosomal RNA". The record is from RNAcentral. Lineage: Eukaryota; Viridiplantae; Streptophyta; Magnoliopsida; Poales; Poaceae.